GACGAACGCUGGCGGCGUGCUUAACACAUGCAAGUCGAACGGUAAGGCUCCAGCUUUCUGGGGUACACGAGUGGCGAACGGGUGAGUAACACGUGGGUGACCUGCCCUGCACUUCGGGAUAAGCCUGGGAAACUGGGUCUAAUACCGGAUAGGACCUCCUUGUGGAUGCUGUGGGGGGGAGUUUUUGCGGUGUGGGAUGGGCCCGCGGCCUAUCAGCUUGUUGGUGGGGUAUUGGCCUACCAAGGCGGCGACGGGUAGCCGGCCUGAGAGGGUGGACGGCCACAUUGGGACUGAGACACGGCCCAGACUCCUACGGGAGGCAGCAGUGGGGAAUAUUGCACAAUGGGCGGAAGCCUGAUGCAGCGACGCCGCGUGGGGGAUGACGGCCUUCGGGUUGUAAACUGCUUUCGCCUUCGACGAAGGGUUUCUGACGGUAGAUGGAGAAGAAGCACCGGCUAACUACGUG
RNAcentral lists this ribosomal RNA (466 nucleotides) under uncultured bacterium. RNAcentral describes it as "partial 16S ribosomal RNA". It matches the Rfam family "Bacterial small subunit ribosomal RNA", at positions 28 to 507 of the family's 1533-position model. The record is from RNAcentral.